CCUUUCGGGGUGGAUUAGUGGCGAACGGGUGAGUAACACGUGGGCAAUCUGCCCUUCACUCUGGGACAAGCCCUGGAAACGGGGUCUAAUACCGGAUAAUACUUCUGCCUGCAUGGGUGGGGGUUGAAAGCUCCGGCGGUGAAGGAUGAGCCCGCGGCCUAUCAGCUUGUUGGUGGGGURAUGGCCUACCAAGGCGACGACGGGUAGCCGGCCUGAGAGGGCGACCGGCCACACUGGGACUGAGACACGGCCCAGACUCCUACGGGAGGCAGCAGUGGGGAAUAUUGCACAAUGGGCGAAAGCCUGAUGCAGCGACGCCGCGUGAGGGAUGACGGCCUUCGGGUUGUAAACCUCUUUCAGCAGGGAAGAAGCGCAAGUGACGGUACCUGCAGAAGAAGCGCCGGCUAACUACGUGCCAGCAGCCGCGGUAAUACGUAGGGCGCAAGCGUUGUCCGGAAUUAUUGGGCGUAAAGAGCUCGUAGGCGGCUUGUCACGUCGGAUGUGAAAGCCCGGGGCUUAACCCCGGGUCUGCAUUCGAUACGGGCUAGCUAGAGUGUGGUAGGGGAGAUCGGAAUUCCUGGUGUAGCGGUGAAAUGCGCAGAUAUCAGGAGGAACACCGGUGGCGAAGGCGGAUCUCUGGGCC
Molecule: ribosomal RNA, 643 nt
Filed under: Streptomyces sp.
Lineage: Bacteria; Bacillati; Actinomycetota; Actinomycetes; Kitasatosporales; Streptomycetaceae
Description: bacterial SSU rRNA
Rfam family: Bacterial small subunit ribosomal RNA
Source: RNAcentral